CCUACGGGUGGCAGCAGUGAGGAAUAUUGGUCAAUGGACGAGAGCCUGAACCAGCCAAGUAGCGUGAAGGAUGACUGCCCUAUGGGUUGUAAACUUCUUUUAUCUGGGAAUAAAAUGUUCCACGUGUGGGCUUUUGUAUGUACCAUAUAGAUAAGGAUAGGCUAACCCCGUGCCAGCAGCCGCGGUAAGACGGGGGAUCCGAGCCGUUUCCGGAUUUAUUGGGUUUAAAGGGAGCGUAGGUGGAUUGUUAAGGCAGGUGGGAAAGUUUGCGGCUUAACCGUAAAAUUGCAGUUGACACUGGGAGUCUUGAGUGCAGCAGGGGUGGGCGGAAUUCGUGGUGUAGCGGUGAAAUGCUUAGAGAUCACGAAGAACUCCGAUUGCGAAGGCAGUUCACUGGACUGCAACUGACGCUGAGGCUCGAAAGUGUGGGUAUCAAACAGGAUUAGAUACCCGAGUAGUC
Molecule: ribosomal RNA, 460 nt
Filed under: uncultured bacterium
Lineage: Bacteria
Description: partial 16S ribosomal RNA
Rfam family: Bacterial small subunit ribosomal RNA
Source: RNAcentral